ACACUCAAGACUCUUGAGUGCGAGUCUAUUUGCUGUGAUUGCAUGUCGUUUUGCUGCUGUUGCACAGAACUGUUCCCACUGUAGGGCAAUAAAAUACUGUAUAUUUCUAUUCUAUGUUUGACUUUUAAGUCAAUUGAAUGGACACAGCACUACACUCUUUUUUUUUACCCCCGUAAUACUGUAUGAGUAGUCACAGGACCACAGCUUGAAGCAAAUAAAAUGUUUGAUUUGAAAAAGAGUGUCCGUCCCCACCUCCCUGCCGAAAAAAAAUGGAAUGCCCCUAUAAUUUGAUUCUGCAGUUCUGGUAUGCAAAGCACUGCCACAGGAGGGCUCCAGUGGGCUUUGAAAGCUGGCCUCCCGGCCCAGACAGGGUGUUUGUGGUGGUUUGCUCAGCAAGAGCGAGACGUCCAGUCUGUCCUAUUGGUCCUCCAACGGUGUUCCAACCAUAAACGAUGCCAGCUAGCGAUCCUGCGGCGUGCCCAUGUCCCGCCAGGCAGCGUCUGGGAGACCAAAGUCUUUAUGUCCCCCGGGUGAGUAUGGUUGCAAAACUGAAACUUAAUAGGAAUUGAUGGAAGACCACCACCAGGAGUGAAGCCUACAACUUAAUACGCAAAACCUCACCUGGCCCAGACAUGGAACAGAUUGACACACUGAGUGGGUUGGUGUGUGUCUACCCUUUGCUGAGAGGUCUGGGUAACCCACUGACCCCCACUUGUGACAGGGAUUGCAAUUAUUUCCCAUGAACAGGGAUGGGAUGUUACUGUACUUAAGUUUUCAUGUGUCCUACUCUAAGUACAUUUAAUUGUGGGUACGUUUGACUUUUACUGCAUUACAAUAACUA
Molecule: non-coding RNA, 841 nt
Organism: Xiphophorus maculatus (southern platyfish)
Lineage: Eukaryota; Metazoa; Chordata; Actinopteri; Cyprinodontiformes; Poeciliidae
Source: Rfam